UACGAAGGGGGCUAGCGUUACUCGGAUUGACUGGGCGUAAAGGGCGCGUAGGCGGUUCGUACAGUCAGAACGUGAAAUUCCUGGGCUCGAACCUGGGGGCUGCGUUUGAUACGUGCGGGCUUGAGUUCGGAAGAGGGUCGUGGAAUUCCCAGUGUAGAGGUGAAAUUCGUAGAUAUUGGGAAGAACACCGGUGGCGAAGGCGGCGACCUGGUCCGAUACUGACGCUGAGGCGCGAAAGCGUGGGGAGCAAACAGG
RNAcentral lists this ribosomal RNA (255 nucleotides) under uncultured bacterium. RNAcentral describes it as "partial 16S ribosomal RNA". It matches the Rfam family "Bacterial small subunit ribosomal RNA", at positions 524 to 776 of the family's 1533-position model. The record is from RNAcentral.